GUCUCCGCCUCUACCCAGGACUCUUUCAUGACCAGGAGGCUGAGGCCC
This 48-nucleotide microRNA precursor is filed under the name Pan paniscus (pygmy chimpanzee). Its description in RNAcentral is "microRNA ppa-mir-665 precursor". Its record names the gene ppa-mir-665. It matches the Rfam family "mir-665 microRNA precursor family", at positions 13 to 60 of the family's 72-position model. Lineage: Eukaryota; Metazoa; Chordata; Mammalia; Primates; Hominidae. The record is from miRBase by way of RNAcentral.